GACGAACCGUGCGAACGUUGUUCGGAAUCACUGGGCUUAAAGGGCGCGUAGGCGGGCCCGCAAGUCAGGGGUGAAAUCCCACGGCUCAACCGUGGAAGUGCCUUUGAUACUGCGGAUCUCGAGGGAGGUAGGGGCGUGCGGAACUUCCGGUGGAGCGGUGAAAUGCGUAGAUAUCGGAAGGAACACCGGUGGCGAAGGCGGCAUCCUGGACCGAUAUUGACGCUGAGGAGCGAAAGCCAGGGGAGCAAAUGGG
Molecule: ribosomal RNA, 253 nt
Filed under: uncultured bacterium
Lineage: Bacteria
Description: partial 16S ribosomal RNA
Rfam family: Bacterial small subunit ribosomal RNA
Source: RNAcentral